CCAUUCUGAUUUUGCUUGUUUUGAUUUUAGCCCAGCAUCAUCAAAUUGCUCCGCUGGAACAGCCACUGCCUCGAUUGGCAUUUUUUGGAUAUUGCAUGUAGGUUUCAUCAAUCUUUGGUAUACUUUCUGCGUUAUUUUGAAUCAUCAAUUACUUGAGGAGAAAGACUGUCAAAGUGUCAGGUAUUCUAUGGGACUGCAUUUCAUGUGUCGUGAAACUUCAGAUUCUAGAGUUUUGAUAUCAAAAGGACUUAUAUAAUGAAGAGACAUCAUACCAGGAAAGGGUGGGGCAAGUUGAAUAUCAUGAGAAAAGUCAAAGUGAUCAAGCUGUGAGUCUUUGACUAAAAUUUGCAGACUAUGGCGGGAAUGUGUAAUCAAGAAGUAGGAGAUACUUGUAGUGCAGA
Quercus lobata is the source of this 401-nucleotide long non-coding RNA. RefSeq lists it as uncharacterized. The transcript has 3 exons. Lineage: Eukaryota; Viridiplantae; Streptophyta; Magnoliopsida; Fagales; Fagaceae. The record is from RefSeq and is a predicted model, not a curated record.